CCCCCGUUAGCUCAGCAGGAUAGAGCGCACGAUUCCUAAUCUUGAGGUCGGGAGUUCGAAUCUCUCACGGGGGACCA
This 77-nucleotide transfer RNA is filed under the name Candidatus Endolissoclinum sp. TMED26. RNAcentral describes it as "tRNA-Arg". It matches the Rfam family "tRNA". From Rfam's summary of the family: Transfer RNA (tRNA) molecules are approximately 80 nucleotides in length. Their secondary structure includes four short double-helical elements and three loops (D, anti-codon, and T loops). Further hydrogen bonds mediate the characteristic L-shaped molecular structure. tRNAs have two regions of fundamental functional importance: the anti-codon, which is responsible for specific mRNA codon recognition, and the 3' end, to which the tRNAs corresponding amino acid is attached (by aminoacyl-tRNA synthetases). tRNAs cope with the degeneracy of the genetic code in two manners: having more than one tRNA (with a specific anti-codon) for a particular amino acid; and 'wobble' base-pairing, i.e. permitting non-standard base-pairing at the 3rd anti-codon position. Lineage: Bacteria; Pseudomonadati; Pseudomonadota; Alphaproteobacteria; Rhodospirillales; Rhodospirillaceae. The record is from RNAcentral. RNAcentral also lists the same sequence under 1 other name.